This 497-nucleotide ribosomal RNA is filed under the name uncultured bacterium. RNAcentral describes it as "partial 16S ribosomal RNA". It matches the Rfam family "Bacterial small subunit ribosomal RNA", at positions 28 to 507 of the family's 1533-position model. The record is from RNAcentral.
GAUGAACGCUGGCGGCGUGCCUAAUACAUGCAAGUCGAGCGAACGGACGAGAAGCUUGCUUCUCUGAUGUUAGCGGCGGACGGGUGAGUAACACGUGGAUAACCUACCUAUAAGACUGGGAUAACUUCGGGAAACCGGAGCUAAUACCGGAUAAUAUUUUGAACCGCAUGGUUCAAAAGUGAAAGACGGUCUUGCUGUCACUUAUAGAUGGAUCCGCGCUGCAUUAGCUAGUUGGUAAGGUAACGGCUUACCAAGGCAACGAUGCAUAGCCGACCUGAGAGGGUGAUCGACCACCAUGGAACUGAGACACGGUCCAGACUACUACGGGAGGCAGCAGAAGGGAAUCUGCCGCAAUAGGCGAAAGCCUGACGGAGCAACGCCGCGUGAGUUAUGAAGGUCUUCGGAUCGUAAAACUCUGUUAUUAGGGAAGAACAUAUGUGUAAGUAACUGUGCACAUCUUGACGGUACCUAAUCAGAAAGCCACGGCUAACUACGUG